CAUGGGGUUGGCAUCGAUAAGCAAGGGGUUGCCAGGCUCCGAGGAGCUGCGGGCUCGAGUCACUCUCUAUUCUGGUAAAUAAAUGCGAGAUCCACCAAACAAAAGCAUAAAAAGGAGUCAAAGUGUCGUGAAAACGUGAAUUCCCCCACAAAUGUCACACCCAAAUUGGAAAGAACAAAACUGGUAAAUCCACAAAAAACUGUUCUCCAAUUCUGAUACUCCAUUGAUGGGUCGUUCCCCCGGUUGCAGCGGACCGAUGAACCCAAUAAACUGUAAAAAUACUCUAAAUGUAAAUUGUAAAAAAAAAAUCUAUAUCCUAAGUUAUGAGAAUUCGAAUUAAUUUAUAACGUGUGCAAUAAAGUAAACAAAUCAAGGUUUCCAGUCAA
Long non-coding RNA from Fopius arisanus, 386 nucleotides. RefSeq lists it as uncharacterized. The record is from RefSeq and is a predicted model, not a curated record. The transcript has 2 exons. Lineage: Eukaryota; Metazoa; Arthropoda; Insecta; Hymenoptera; Braconidae.